This 253-nucleotide ribosomal RNA is filed under the name uncultured bacterium. RNAcentral's name for it is "partial 16S ribosomal RNA". It matches the Rfam family "Bacterial small subunit ribosomal RNA", at positions 524 to 776 of the family's 1533-position model. The record is from RNAcentral.
GACGAACCGUGCGAACGUUGUUCGGAAUUACUGGGCGUAAAGGGCGCGCAGGCGGCCUUAGAAGUCAGAUGUGAAAGCCCCGGGCUCAACCUGGGAAUGGCAUUUGAUACUCUGAGGCUGGAGUACGGGAGAGGAGAGUGGAAUUCCCAGUGUAGAGGUGAAAUUCGUAGAUAUUGGGAAGAACACCGGUGGCGAAGGCGGCUCUCUGGCCCGAUACUGACGCUGAGGCACGAAAGCGUGGGGAGCAAACAGG